This 1209-nucleotide long non-coding RNA is filed under the name Solanum tuberosum (potato). RNAcentral's name for it is "long non-coding RNA (STUB_LNC010215)". Lineage: Eukaryota; Viridiplantae; Streptophyta; Magnoliopsida; Solanales; Solanaceae. The record is from RNAcentral.
AAUUUGAAUUUGUGUUGUAUAGAAUUCUAUUUGAGGAGAAACGUUUCCUAUCAUUCGAAUUAUAUACUAUACAACUUAAAGCAUAUUCCGAUCUUAUGCCUUGCAAAUAUACAAUCUGAACUUAUGCCUUGCGAAUUUUAUACUAUACAACUUUGAAAAAAAUCUCAAACACCAUAUAAUCAGAGUCUCCAGAAGAUAAGUACUAGUGAUGCAAAAUGUUCCAAUCUGUCCCCUGAAAAUUGAAUAGGAAAUUUUAUGCCAAUAAAAUAUUUGAAGAGAAUGAGUAGUUAUCUUAUUCAAGAACCACACUACUUAACAACUUCCAUUAUACUAUGUAAUGAAGAGUACUACAUUCCAGGAUUAAGUGAUAAACGUGCAAAACAAACGAAACGUUUGAAUAAUUUGUGAUAUAUUGCAGUAGACUAACUUUACAGAGGUAUGUGAGAAAUAAAGAAACAAGGAAUGUAGGAGAUUAACAAUUUUAGAAGAAGCUUACAUGGAAAUCGUGGUUCAAUAAGCAGAAUAGAGAAUCGUUGAACCUAAUGGACAGACACGCCUCAAACAGGUCGACCCGUUGAAGUACUCCUUCUCAAAGGAGACUGCUACAAUAGCAUCCCUGUUAAACAGUACAACAUUUUCAUGAGAAUAAUACAUUGUGCUUGAGCAUAUUUCUACCCAAGUUUAACACUUUGCUCGUACGAGAAUGUUAUAUUUAUAUCGAAAUAAAUGACAACAAAUAAUAUUGUAUAAUCAAUACUUACUUUUCGAGUAUGUAGCUGGCCUUCCUAGAUUUCUUAUUUUUUGCAUAAUGAGUUGUUAGUUUUAGGAUGAUUUGAAUUUCAAAUUUUUAUUAGGUUUUGUUUAGAUAUAUUAGCUAUUUUGAAUUUCCAAUUAUAUAUGCAGAUUUUUGUUUUAACUUGGCUACUAAAAGACGACCUAUGCUUAAUAAAAAUAUAAAGAGACAUUACUAUAAAACCUUUUUGCUUCACAUCUUUUAAAAACAAACAAAUAGUUUCACUUCAUAAUCGUUGGUAAACAAACAAACAAAUAAAUAGUUUCACUUCAUAAUCGUUGGUAAACAAACAAACAUAAUAGUUUCACUUCACAAUCGUUAGUAGCAAUUGUGUCAUGAGAAAAAAGGAGUGGAAAAAAAGUAUUUCUAACAACUCUAAAUGAAAAUUUACCUAACAUAAUUGCCUGCCGCUCANN